This 497-nucleotide ribosomal RNA is filed under the name uncultured bacterium. RNAcentral describes it as "partial 16S ribosomal RNA". It matches the Rfam family "Bacterial small subunit ribosomal RNA", at positions 28 to 507 of the family's 1533-position model. The record is from RNAcentral.
GACGAACGCUGGCGGCGUGCCUAAUACAUGCAAGUUGAGCGCUGAAGGUUGGUACUUGUCCCAACUGGCUGAGCAGCGAACGGGUGAGUAACGCGUGGGGAAUCUGCCUUUGAGCGGGGGACAACAUUUGGAAACGAAAGCUAAUACCGCAUAAAAACUUUAAACACAAGUUUUAAGUUUGAAAGAUGCAAUUGCAUCACUCAAAGAUGAUCCCGCGUUGUAUUAGCUAGUUGGUGAGGUAAAGGCUCACCAAGGCGAUGAUACAUAGCCGACCUGAGAGGGUGAUCGGCCACAUUGGGACUGAGACACGGCCCAAACUCCUACGGGAGGCAGCAGUAGGGAAUCUUCGGCAAUGGACGAAAGUCUGACCGAGCAACGCCGCGUGAGUGAAGAAGGGUUUCGGAUCGUAAAACUCUGUUGGUAGAGAAGAACGUUGGUGAGAGUGGAAAGCUCAUCAAGUGACGGUAACUACCCAGAAAGGGACGGCUAACUACGUG